CUUUUUGCCAUUUCUUGGGCCGCUCCCUCGGCGUAUGGAGGUUCCCAGGCUAGGGGUCUCAUCGGAGCUGUGGCUGCCAGCCUACGCCAGAGCCACAGCAACACAGGAUCCGAGCCGAGUCUGCGACCGACACCACAACUCAAGGCAACACCGGAUCCUUAACCCACUGAACAAGGCCAGGGAUCAAACUCACAACCUCAUGGUUCCUAGUCAGAUUUGUUAACCACUGUGCCACGACUGGAACUCCAAAGGAAAAGUUCUUGAAGGAAAUGAAAGUGCUACUCGGGUGAACAUACAAAUGAUAAGAAAGUAAAACAGCUUUUUCUCUGAUAGGGAGAGAGUGUAAUGGUCUGGAUAGAAAAUCAAACCAGACACAAAAUUCCCUUAAAGCCAAAACUUAAUCCAGAGCAAGACCCUAACUCUUUUCAUCUCUUUGAAGGUGGAGAGAGGUGAGGAAGCUACAGAAGAAAAGUCUGAAGCUAAAAGAGGUGGGUUCAUGAGAUUUAAGGAAAGAAGCCAUCUCCAAAACAUAAAAGCGUGUAAGGGAAAGCAGUAAGGGCUGAUGCAGAAGCUGCAGCAACUUAUCCAGAAGAUCCAGCUAAGAUAAUUCAUGAAGGUGGCUACACUAAACAACAGAUUUUCAAUGAAGAUAAAACAGCCUUCUGCUGGAAGAAGAUGCCAUCUAGGACCUUCAUAGCUCGCAAGGAGAAGUCAAGGCCUGGCUUCAAAGUUUCAAAAGACAAGCGGACUCUCAUUAGGAGCUGAUGCAGCUGGUGACUCUACGUUGCAGCCCACGCUUCUUUCACAUUUUGAAAAUCCUAGGCCCCUUAAGAAGUUUGCAACAUCUACUCUGCCUGUGCUCCAUAAAUGAAAAAAAUAAAGCCUGGAUCACAGCACAUCUGUUUCUAACAUGGUUUUCUGAAUAUCUUAAGCGCACUGUUGAGACCUACUGCCUGGGAAAAGAUUUCAAAUUAUUACUGCUACGGACAAGGUACCUGGUGACCCAAGAGCUCUGAGGAAGAGGUACACAUGUCGUUUCCAUGCCUGCCAACACAACAUGCAUUCUGCAGUCCACGGAUCAAGAAGUCAUUCUGACGUUCAAGUCUAACUAUUGAAGAAAUACAUUUUGUAAGGCCACAGACAGUUAUUCUUCUAGUGGAUCUGGACAAAGCAAAUUGAAAACUUCCUGGAAAGGAUUUUUACCACUCUAGAUGACAUCAUGACAUAGGAUAAGGUGAAGAAAACAUCAUUCACAGGAGUUUGAAAGAAAUGGAUUCCAGCCCUUCUGUGUGAGUUUGAGGGGCUCAAAACUUAGGGAAGGAAGAAACUGCAGAUGUGGUGGAAAUAGCAGGAGAACUAGAAUGAGGCAAGAAUAUAAAAUGGGGAAAAGACAGUCUUUUCAGCAAGUGGUGCUGGGAAAACUGAAGAGCCACAUGUAAAUCACUGAAACUGGAACACAACCUCACACCAUGCACAGAAAUAAACUAAAAAUGGCUUAAAGACUUAAAUGCAAGACAAGACAUCAUCAUACUCCCAGAAGAGAACAUAGGCAAAACACUCUCUGACAUCAACCAUACACAUCUCUUCUUAGGUCAGUCUCCCAAGGCAACAGAAAUAAAAGCAGAAAUAAACCAAUGGGACCUAAGCAAACUGCCAAGAUUUUGCACAGCAAAGGAAACCAUAAAAAACAUUCUUUUUUAAACUUGAAUGGAUGAAGCGUUGCUUCUUAAAGACAAGCAAAGAAAGUAGUGUCUUGAGAUAGAAUCGGCUCCUGUUGAAGAUGCUAUCAAGAGUGUUGAAAUGAUAAGAAAGGAUUUCGAACAUGACCUUCACUUCGUUGGUAAAGCAGAGGCAGGCUGUGUGAGGAUUGACACCAGUCUUGCAAGUUCUACUGUGGGUAAAAUUAUCAUAUGGCACUGCACGCUACAGAGAAAUCAUGAAAGGAAGAAUCAAUCAUUAUGGUAAAACUUCACCAUCGUUGUGUUUUACGAAAACUGCCACAGCUGCCCCCAACCCCCAGUAGUCAUUAACAAACAUCAAGGCAAGACCCUCCACCAGCAAAAAGAUCACAACCUGUUGAAGGUUCAGGUGACAGUUAUGGCAUGUCUUAGCAAUGACGUAUUUUUAAAUUAAGGUACAUUUGCUGUUUUUUCAGACAUAACAGACUACACUUACGAGAACACAGUACAGUGUAAACAUACUUUUAUGUGCACUGGGAAAUCAAAAAACUUGUGUGGCUCACCUUGUAGUGAUAGUCACUUUAUGGUACUGUUUGUUUUACGCUGGUGGCCUGAAACCAAAUCUAUGCUAUCUCAGAGGAUACUAUACAAAAAUAGCCCCCGUAUCUUGAGAUAGAGCUAGGCCUCCCCAAGUCAAAGAAAGAACCUCUUUGAAAAAGCAGGCUUCAUCAUGUAUAUUCUAGGGCUACCCUCUGAGCCAGAGUUUAUCAGAUGAGCCCAUAUAGUAUGCCAAGCCCCUACUCUUUAGGGAGGCAGGAAAGGAGGAAUUAGAAUGUCAGUAACUAACAUGGGACACAGGGCACGGAUAGGCUACUGUGUUAAAAGCUCCUACCUAUUCUGUCUCACCUGAUCCUAAGGACCUAUUUUAGGGCCUUCCAGUUUAUUGAUGAGAGGUUAGAAGAAACUUGCCCAAGUUACACAGUAAGUGGAUUCUAACCCAGGCAACUCUUACAUCCAUUGCCUGGGCUUUGAGCCACUCUACCACGCUGCCUGCUCCUUUAGAUUCUGGCCAUGGUCCCCACAGCACCGAUACUGGGUUCCAGUGCUAUAGGAAGGAACCAAAGGCAAGGCAGUUCAAGGCCCUUCUCUGGAAAUGGAGAUCAAGGCCUGAAACCAAAAGAGCCUGAGACCCCUUUAGUGACUUAUGCCUCAAAAAAGCCUCCAAGUUACAUCAACAAGUCAUGCUGUCAUCUCUCUAGAAUGAAAGUGAAUUCCACCACCUCAGCUGCUCUUGGUGCCACAUUGACUUACAUUAGAAAAGAUACAGGGGAGUUCCCAUCAUGGCGCAGUGGAGAUGAAUCCGACUGGGAGCCAUGAGGUUGUGGGUUCGAUCCCUGACCUUGCUCAGUGGGUUGAGGAUCCGGCAUUGCCAUGAGCUGUGAUGUAGGUUGCAAAUGUGGCUCAGAUCUAGCAUUGCUGUGGCAUAAGCCAGCAGCUGCAGCUCCAAUUUGACCCCUAGCCUGGGAACUUCCUCAUGCCUCGGGUGCAGCCCUAAAAAGAAAAAAAAAAAUUUAAAUUAAAUUAAAAUAAAAUACUUCCUACCUCUACUCACAGCUUCCCAACAGUCCCUCACCUCCCAGGCCACCUCAUUCUAUAUGCCCAGUGGCGCUCAAGCAUAUGAUGCUGCUAUAACUCUUUCCUUCUGAGGUGCUAGAAUCUCAACCCAGCUGGAAGACGUGGACAUGGGAGGAAGCAGGAAUGCACACAGAUGGGAGGCACUGGACUCCAACAGUUUGUUUAUUCUUCACACCAACUCUGUAGUGUUGAUGAAACUCAAGUUGAGAGAGUCAAAACAGUCAAAACAUGCAAACGAGCUCAGGUCUACCCCCAGGCUGGUGGAUUCAAUUCACCCCCGACCACACUGCCUUCAGUGGCUAGAGGUAAGCUAGGGACAGACCAACUCCAACUGCCCAAGCCACGGGCACCUGCCAUUAAAUAUGGAGCAUCAACAGGUGUUUACUGCAGGGGUCAAAGUGGAAACAAGCCCCAUCCACCCAACCACCCAACUGUCCCCAUGCCAAUCUCUAGAACAUCCAAGGACGAAGAGGCCUUAAGAACAUCAUACAUGGCUCUUUCAAUUCAAAGCCAAGAAAACAGAGCCCCAAAAGAAAAAAAAAAAAAGCAUUUUCUGUGCCUCAGGUAUCAUUCCUAUGGUCCCUCAGGUCACCCUCACAACAGUCACGCUAUGAAGUCAUUUUGGGGUGCACCUGAUAAGCAUAUGCACGCACACAUGUAUGUAUUUUUUAAGCGACUCAAAGUUACAUAGUAUCUUGUCCAAGACCUAACAUGGAGUUAAACGGCAAAGUUCCAACAUCUCCCCCAUCCAAGCCCUAUGUCUCUAUCUGGUCCCCAGCAUUACGUAGCUUCUAACCACUGGGAGCCCCAGGACUCAUACAAAAUAGUAUGUAAUAAAGGGGUAAAAGUGGGUAACUAGACCAGUGGUUUCCAAAUGUGGCUAAUUUAUUAGCAUCAUCUGAGAUGUCUCCUAAAAAUACAGAUCAGCCUCCCCCCCUUGCAGGCUUCUGACUGUGUAGGAGACCUUGAAAUCUCUAUUUUUACAUACUUCCAGGGAUUCUGAUCAUCAGUCUGCCUUACUCCUUACAGAAAGAGAAAAACAAUGGCAGAUCAGUCAUGAAAGUCUAUCAGGAGCUGGGAUUUGAAUCAACAGAAUUUAAAGAGAGCAACACUGAAGAGGUGGCUAUAUCCAGGGAGCAUUGACAGUGAGAACGGUGGGUGAGCGUGGGGAGACAUGAUGGAGGGUGAUCAGGAGGGAUACACCAGGCAGAUAUCGUGGUCACACCUUGAGAGCAAGGAAACACAAUCAAAGUGGUACAGGAUAAAGCAAACAGCAGGUGAGGUGAGCAUCUGGGCCAGGAUGGACAAUGAUAAGGCUGUUGACGUAGGGCACAAGCUGGUAAGGCCCCAACAAAGAAACAUCUGAAGGGGAAUGCCACCUGGAUUGCCAGAAUGUGAGCUCCGAGGAGACAAAGGGGCUACCUGGUUUGCUCUCACCUUGAUCCUGAGCACGUAGGAGAUGCUGAAUAAACAUCGUGGAAUGAACAACACAUAGGUGCAUUCUGUGGCCAUCUAGUCAGCAAAGUCAACAAAGAUACCUCAUCAAGGAAUUGACGUCAAGACUCAAAUCCCAAAGCCUGGCAUUAAGAUGACAGUACUGGGAGCUCCCGCUGUGGCGCAACGGGAUGGGCAGCAUCUUGGGAGUGCUGGGAUUAGGGUUUGAUCCCCAACCCAGCAUAGUGUGGGAUAAGGAUCCGGGGUUGCCGCAGCUGCAGUUUAGUUUGCAAUGGUGGAUCUGAUCCCUGGUCUGGGAGAUCCAUAUGCC
Molecule: long non-coding RNA, 5079 nt
Filed under: Sus scrofa (pig)
Lineage: Eukaryota; Metazoa; Chordata; Mammalia; Artiodactyla; Suidae
Description: lncRNA (ENSSSCG00060072751.1)
Source: RNAcentral